UGAGUAAUAGCUUUGCGGGAAGUAAUUUGAUGGUUUAUAGGGAUGACAAGCUGCCGCUGAGCUAUAUGCUACUAACUGAAAGGUGGACGAAGUGCGAUUCACUAUUUUCGGCUGCUCGUCUAUUUCCUUUUACUUCACAGCUUCUUUUUCUCUCACAUCGAGCACUGCUCUACACUCAUUUGUCUAAUGACCUUUGUUUUUCCCGUGCAACUAGCAGUACGGUAUUUUUUUAUCUUCGAGUCCUUUACCAGAUCGGCCUCCUCUCAAGUUUCUACAGCCCGCCGGCCCCCUUUUCUUCCAUAAAAUUGAUAUGAAG
Molecule: long non-coding RNA, 316 nt
Filed under: Setaria viridis
Lineage: Eukaryota; Viridiplantae; Streptophyta; Magnoliopsida; Poales; Poaceae
Description: long non-coding RNA (SVIR_LNC004109)
Source: RNAcentral